This 253-nucleotide ribosomal RNA is filed under the name uncultured bacterium. RNAcentral's name for it is "partial 16S ribosomal RNA". It matches the Rfam family "Bacterial small subunit ribosomal RNA", at positions 524 to 776 of the family's 1533-position model. The record is from RNAcentral.
UACGUAGGGGGCAAGCGUUGUCCGGAAUCAUUGGGCGUAAAGCGCGUGUAGGCGGCCCGAUAAGUCCGCUGUGAAAGUCCAGGGCUCAACCCUGGAAUGCCGGUGGAUACUGUCGGGCUCGAGUCCGGAAGAGGCGAGUGGAAUUCCUGGUGUAGCGGUGAAAUGCGCAGAUAUCAGGAGGAACACCGAUUGCGAAGGCAGCUCGCUGGGACGUAACUGACGCUGAGACGCGAAAGCGUGGGGAGCAAACGGG